AGCUAGCACCGGCGCCUCUGCCCCUCCCCUGCUCCGGACCCAGGCUCCCCGCCUUACCCCCCGCCCCCCAGGGCGCCCCGAGGUCUCACCACGUCUCAGCCGCCCUUUGAUACAUGGGGGUUGUGCGGGGCGGGGGGCAGGGGACCCGCCCUCUCUCCAAACACUAGCAGGGCCGGGGCGCCUGGGCAGGCACGUGUCCGGGCACAACCCGCUGCCCACGCUGCCCCCCCACUCCCGCCCCCCCGCUCUGGCCAGGACACGUCGCUCUCUUACUUGGGUGGGGUGGGAGGAGGGGAGAGAAAGCUGGGACUGGAAAGCAGCGCCCCCCACCCCUUUGAAUGGCCAACCUCAGCCAGCGGUGCGCACCAGGUUUCCACCACACAGCGACCCCCACUCCGCUUAGGGCAGGUGCGCCGGCGCCGGCGGCAAGACCGCUGGUAGGUCGAGUUCUUAUCACCCACCCUAGCACCGGAGUUGUGAGAGCAAAAGCUGACUUUGAAAAGGUGGCGGUGGGCCUGAGGCUUGAGAGGAGGGAAUGUGAUUGCGGAGCGGGAGGGGCAGCGGGGUCGUUCUGCUGAGCUGCACUCCCGCUGGAGAGACGACGCGGCUCUGGAAGCGCAAGAAACCGAAUAGUCCAGCCGGAGUCUUACUAUAUUGCCUAUGCUGUUCUCCAGCUCCUGGGAUCAAACCUCCCAAGUCAGCUUCUAGAAUAGAAGGGAAAAUAGAUGUCUGUGUGCUACCCAUCUGGCAAGCCCUAAAGUCGAGAUGUGAAAAUGUAGGUGCGCUGAAUGUCUGUUCUAAAGAGUGUUGUCCUUCUGACCUUGGGAUGAAUCACUUCACCUUUUGGGCUUGUUUAUUCAAAUUAGUGUGAUUCCCUUUAACAUCUUGCCUAGUUUUGUUCUGUGUGUAUGUGUAUGACUUUUGUUUGUUGCUUGGUUCUGAGAUAAGGUUUCAACACCACAAUCAAGCCUGCCUACUUUUGAAGUUUACUUUUCCUCCUGAGCACACAGACAUUCAGGUGUGGAGGUCAGAGGACAGCUUGCAGAAGUUGGUUCUCUCUUUCCAUCAUGUGGGUUCUGGGGAUUGGAAUGAUCAGGCUUGAUAGCAAGCACCUUUAUCUACUGAACCAUCUUGCCAACCCUGAAGUGUACUUUAAAAAAAAAAAAAAAACUUAAGCCAGGUACUCAGGAGGCAGAGACAGGCAGGCAGAUCUUUAUGAGUUUGAGGCUAGCCUCAUCUACAUGGUGAGUGGGACCAAGCUACAUAUUGAGACUUUUUUUAAAAAAAUUAUUUUGGGACUGGAGAGAUGGCUUAGCAGUUAAGAGCACUGGAUGCUCUUCCAGAGGUCCUGAGUUCAAUUCCCAGCAGCCACAUGAUGGCAUACAACCAUCUGUAAUGGGGUCUGAUGCCCUCUUCUGGUGUGUCUGAAGAAAGCUACAGUGUACUCACAUACAUAAAAUAAAAUUAAAUAU
This is a long non-coding RNA of Grammomys surdaster, 1472 nucleotides long. RefSeq lists it as uncharacterized. The transcript has 3 exons. The record is from RefSeq and is a predicted model, not a curated record. Lineage: Eukaryota; Metazoa; Chordata; Mammalia; Rodentia; Muridae.